AGCCACGCAAUGAGCACAUAGUGAACUAAUCUUUUGCCUUUUACUAAAGAAUACCGUGUCGCGUUGUAAAUAGUGGCAUAUGCCAAUUUUUGGAGGGUUUUUCACUUUUUGAGAAAU
Molecule: small nuclear RNA, 117 nt
Organism: Solanum verrucosum
Lineage: Eukaryota; Viridiplantae; Streptophyta; Magnoliopsida; Solanales; Solanaceae
Product: U5 spliceosomal RNA
Exons: 1
Source: RefSeq, a predicted model, not a curated record